RNAcentral lists this ribosomal RNA (480 nucleotides) under uncultured bacterium. RNAcentral's name for it is "partial 16S ribosomal RNA". It matches the Rfam family "Bacterial small subunit ribosomal RNA", at positions 28 to 507 of the family's 1533-position model. The record is from RNAcentral.
GAUGAACGCUAGCGGCAGGCCUAACACAUGCAAGUCGAGGGGGAAGUUACUUUCGGGUGACUGAGACCGGCGUACGGGUGCGUAACGCGUAUACAAUCUGCCUUUCACUGGGGGAUAGCCCGAAGAAAUUUGGAUUAAUACCCCAUAGUAUAUAGGGACGGCAUCGUUUUUAUAUUAAAGCUUAGGUGGUGUAAGAUGAGUAUGCGUUCUAUUAGCUAGUUGCAGAGGUAACGGCUCCCCAAGGCGAUGAUAGAUAGGGGUUCUGAGAGGGAUGUCCCCCACACUGGUACUGAGAUACGGACCAGACUCCUACGGGAGGCAGCAGUGAGGAAUAUUGGACAAUGGUCGGAAGACUGAUCCAGCCAUGCCGCGUGCAGGAUGAAGGUCUUAUGGAUUGUAAACUGCUUUUGUAAGGGAAGAAUAAGGGCUACGCGUAGUUUGAUGACGGUACCUUACGAAUAAGCAUCGGCUAACUCCGUG